This 484-nucleotide ribosomal RNA is filed under the name uncultured bacterium. Its description in RNAcentral is "partial 16S ribosomal RNA". It matches the Rfam family "Bacterial small subunit ribosomal RNA", at positions 30 to 507 of the family's 1533-position model. The record is from RNAcentral.
AUUGAACGCUGGCGGCAGGCCUAACACAUGCAAGUCGAGCGGAUGAAGGGAGCUUGCUCCUGGAUUCAGCGGCGGACGGGUGAGUAAUGCCUAGGAAUCUGCCUGGUAGUGGGGGAUAACGUCCGGAAACGGGCGCUAAUACCGCAUACGUCCUGAGGGAGAAAGGGGGGGAUCUUCGGACCUCACGCUAUCAGAUGAGCCUAGGUCGGAUUAGCUAGUUGGUGGGGUAAAGGCCUACCAAGGCGACGAUCCGUAACUGGUCUGAGAGGAUGAUCAGUCACACUGGAACUGAGACACGGUCCAGACUCCUACGGGAGGCAGCAGUGGGGAAUCUUGGACAAUGGGCGAAAGCCUGAUCCAGCCAUGCCGCGUGUGUGAAGAAGGUCUUCGGAUUGUAAAGCACUUUUAGUUGGGAGGAAGGGCAGUAAGUUAAUCCCUUGCUGUUUUGACGUUACCAACAGAAUAAGCCCCGGCUAACUUCGUG